CACAGAUGCCUCAUGACAGAUGUCUCAUUGAGAGAUAUCCACCUUCUGCACAAGGCAUCCUAACCCGACAAACCUCGCUGAGCAAAUGGAAAUUCUACCAAACCACGAGCAGAUACACUUCAGAAAUUAGCUAAAGUGUGGUUGAUGAAGCCCAGAGUGGUACAACAGAUGGAGGGUAAACACUGACUGAACUGAAAGAUCAUCUGUGCCAAAUAGUGACCAGUUGACCUUGAAAUUCCACAAUGGAACAAUGCCCCUUGAGACAGGGGCAAGGUAAAAUGGAAUUUUGAUGUUAGACGGAUUUCACAAGCACUUU
Molecule: non-coding RNA, 316 nt
Organism: Chiloscyllium plagiosum (whitespotted bambooshark)
Lineage: Eukaryota; Metazoa; Chordata; Chondrichthyes; Orectolobiformes; Hemiscylliidae
Source: RefSeq, a predicted model, not a curated record